Culex pipiens pallens (northern house mosquito) is the source of this 721-nucleotide long non-coding RNA. RefSeq lists it as uncharacterized. The transcript has 3 exons. NCBI's taxonomy places the organism in Eukaryota, Metazoa, Arthropoda, Insecta, Diptera, Culicidae. The record is from RefSeq and is a predicted model, not a curated record.
GACAGAAAAUGGUGCCAAUUUUUCUACGACCGUUGAAGAGUCAACAUCUGGGGGAAGACCCAGCAGGAGUAGGUCCAGAAUCGGGAGGACGGCCAGUUUGGCGAGAGGCCGUCGGACCGUAGUGCUGCACGUCAGCCGUUCGGACGAGGCCAUCGGACUCUGGGUAGGUCGUCUGUGUCCACCGUCCGUCGCGCAGCCAGAACUGGCUUCUCAAGAUGGCAAGCAAGGCCAUCCCCGCGUGCAGCUCCGAUUGCUGCAGUCUACCUCCUACUCCGAGAAGGCCGUUGUCCAGGAAGGGUGCCAGACACUGGAGCUUUCCGGCCGAAUCGUUCUCGACAACCUGCUGUAUCUCCUGGGAUAGUACGUCGUGCUGCACAACCUUCGUCGUUCAGGGAGAUGGCGGAGGGAGACAUCUUCGCCGAGGCAUCGAAAACGACCCACAACUCGGUCGUUGAGUUCGAGGGGCGGAGAAAGGCAAGGUGGAGAAAGAAGUAGCGGCCAAGGUUAGAUCCGGGUCUCGGUUGAGUCGCUUUUCCAGCGACAGAAAAAAGGUGAGGCUGCAGUUGUCGUCGAGUCUGGCGACGACGAGGCGGAACGGCAAGCGAACCUCGGUAGGGUCCCACCUUUGAGUGGAGCGGAAGAAUACCGCGAAAUCUUCCUGUUCGGUGGUGAAAGGCGUUGCAUAUUCUAUCUUUUCGGCCUGCCAGCGUGGACUCGCUGA